Molecule: ribosomal RNA, 253 nt
Filed under: uncultured bacterium
Lineage: Bacteria
Description: partial 16S ribosomal RNA
Rfam family: Bacterial small subunit ribosomal RNA
Source: RNAcentral
UACGUAGGGGGCAAGCGUUGUCCGGAAUCAUUGGGCGUAAAGCGCGUGUAGGCGGCCCGGUAAGUCCGCUGUGAAAGUCCAGGGCUCAACCCUGGAAUGCCGGUGGAUACUGUCGGGCUCGAGUCCGGAAGAGGCGAGUGGAACUCCUGGUGUAGCGGUGAAAUGCGCAGAUAUCAGGAGGAACACCAAUGGCGAAGGCAGCUCGCUGGGACGGUACUGACGCUGAGACGCGAAAGCGUGGGGAGCAAACAGG